AGCUACAGGCAGUUUUGAGCUGCUGGUGUGGGUGCUAGGAACUGACAUGGUUUCUCUGGAAGUGCUCUUAACUGCUGAGCC
This 81-nucleotide microRNA precursor is filed under the name Microtus ochrogaster (prairie vole). RNAcentral's name for it is "miRNA (ENSMOCG00000011457.1)". Lineage: Eukaryota; Metazoa; Chordata; Mammalia; Rodentia; Cricetidae. The record is from RNAcentral.